GAUGAACGCUGGCGGCGUGCUUAACACAUGCAAGUCGAACGGAAAGGCCGAAGCUUGCUUCGGUACUCGAGUGGCGAACGGGUGGGUAACACGUGGGUGAUCUGCCCUGUACUUCGGGAUAAGCUUGGGAAACUGGGUCUAAUACCGGAUAUGACGAUCUCUUGGAUGGGGUUGUGGAAAGCUUUUGCGGUAUGGGAUGAGCUCGCGGCCUAUCAGCUUGUUGGUGGGGUAAUGGCCUACCAAGGCGUCGACGGGUAGCCGGCCUGAGAGGGUGUACGGCCACAUUGGGACUGAGAUACGGCCCAGACUCCUACGGGAGGCAGCAGUGGGGAAUAUUGCACAAUGGGCGCAAGCCUGAUGCAGCGACGCCGCGUGGGGGAUGACGGCCUUCGGGUUGUAAACUCCUUUCGCAAUCGACGAAGCCUUUUGGUGACGGUAGGUUGAGAAGAAGCACCGGCUAACUACGUG
Molecule: ribosomal RNA, 468 nt
Filed under: uncultured bacterium
Lineage: Bacteria
Description: partial 16S ribosomal RNA
Rfam family: Bacterial small subunit ribosomal RNA
Source: RNAcentral